GCCUUGCCAGCCUUAACGCCAUUAAGCACUCCGCCUGGGGAGUACGACCGCAAGGUUUGAAACUUCAAAGGAAUUGACGGGGGCCCGCACAAGCGGUGGAGCAUGUGGUUUAAUUCGAAGCAACGCGAAGAACCUUACCAGGUCUUGACAUCCUUUGACCACUCUAGAGAUAGAGCUUCCCCUUCGGGGGCAAAGUGACAGGUGGUGCAUGGUUGUCG
This 218-nucleotide ribosomal RNA is filed under the name Enterococcus sp. RNAcentral describes it as "partial 16S ribosomal RNA". It matches the Rfam family "Bacterial small subunit ribosomal RNA", at positions 840 to 1054 of the family's 1533-position model. The record is from RNAcentral. Lineage: Bacteria; Bacillati; Bacillota; Bacilli; Lactobacillales; Enterococcaceae.